Long non-coding RNA from Columba livia (rock pigeon), 7988 nucleotides. RefSeq lists it as uncharacterized. The transcript is spliced from 2 exons. The record is from RefSeq and is a predicted model, not a curated record. NCBI's taxonomy places the organism in Eukaryota, Metazoa, Chordata, Aves, Columbiformes, Columbidae.
GAAAUCUCACCCCAGCCCAAUGAUGGACAGUUGCUGCUUGGUGGGUCACCCUGUGCCAUUACCUUCACAGAGCACGACCAUGGGCUCACCCCAAGCUCAUAACAUGUUUUUUUUUUCUGUUUCCCCUGGUAGGAUGUGAGAAAAUUUAUUCCUGAUUCAGUUCUGGGCACUGACAUCUCAUCCUUUUAAAUACGAUGAAAUACUAGGGGAAUCCUGCAAGUGGUCUGCACAAAACUGGACUCUGUCCUAGCACUGCUCUGUGGCCCUGAGAAAGAGAUGUGGAAGAUUUUGGCUCUUCAGAGAUGGCAGCAUCCCCACCCCACUGCAGCAAUGACCUCUGUGCAUCUUCUGUCUAUCAAGCAGGAUAAGUCCUUUCUCUUCUCACCUGCUUAUUUUUGGAUACCAACACUGCAAAUAGAAUAAGGCCCCUGAUCAACUCUACUCACUGCUACCUCUGCUGGUAACUGUGAGUUGACCUGACUAUGCUGGCAUCUCCUGCAGCGAUGGUGAGGUCUGCACAGCGACUAUUUCAGCAGGCACACAUGCCCAAACAAACCCUUUUUAAAAAUAAGCCCCCCUAACUUAUCUCUUACCAUCAGUAAGGGAGGCGAUGUUUCCCAGGUUCUCAGUGGUGAUCUCUGCAAUAUUCUCCAUCACGAGGAUCUGCCUGGACAGCUUAUCCAGGAGGCCUCUUGCCACAAAUGGUGUUUUACUGGAGAAUACAAUUUGCUGAUGAAGACAGAUGGGAAGAGAAGAAGUCAUUGAACAGAAACAAAACAAAACAAAACAACAACAACAAAACCAAACCAACCAAACAAAAAACCCCACCAAAACAAAACAACAACAACAAAAACAGAACAAAAAACUAAACCUCAGAAGAAAACAAAAACCUCCAAAACACUUUUGGCACCCGAAGAACUGCAAUUGCAAAUUCAUUGUCAGAAACCGUGGGAUCUCCUUAACUUCAAAAGUGGUUUUGUCUCUUGGAAAUUUUAUUGUCCUGGUUAAUACCUAUUGUUGCUCAUAUCUUUAACAUCUACAUUCAGAUCCAGGCCUAUUGAGUAUCCAAGCAGCCAUCUGCAUAAGCUAAUUUCCAAUUUAUACCCUCUGCAAAGCUGAAGGAAUCCAUUUUCAUAAGCCUUAAAGCCAGAAAAUAAUAUUAAUCUGACUUUCGUACAAUAUAUGCCAUGGACUCUGAGGACAUAUCUGCCUGGAGGCAGACCACAGGUCAUUCUUUCUCCACUCCGUUUCAGCUCUGAUCAACUACUCAGGUGUCUUUAUUAAUUUGGUUCUUUUUCUUUGCUAAUACUGCCUGCUGCUGACAUCUGCAUUUUCUUCAGCAUUCCAUGUAAAUAUUGUUCAUAUCAAAUCUGCUCCAUGUGUGGACGUAGUUCAAGUUUGCCUUCCCCAGCUGCAUAUUUACUGUGUACUCUUGUAUUUAAGCCAAAAACUUCCCUUUUUCUCAUACUUGUGAGCCAGCAGAGUGUCCAGCUCAGCACUAAGGGUGCUGGAAUCAAACUUGCUCUGUAUUGUUUCAGUGGGUCUUUGGGAAAAUAAAGCUGAUUACAUCUAAGAUGGAAGAUCCAAAUAAUUGCAAAGAGGAAGCUGCAGCAUGUUUUGAUUCAUCAGGAAAACCGUGAUGCCUUCACUUGCUAGAAUGGCUUGCUGGAGGGUUAAAAUUACAUUUUCCAUGCUUGGGCUCUGAAAAGAAGCCCUCUAAAAGGUUGCGCUUUUUAGUUGCGCGCACGAACAGACAAUUUUUAUGUCCCGGGGGGCUGUCAUGUGCUGUCUUUACUCUGUGUGCUGCAGACAAUCUUUCCAGCUCACAUGCAGAAAUUAGUUUCUGCUCCUGAAAAUCACAGCCUUGUCUGGGGUUUGGUUAAACAGUGGGGCCACGGGCUUCUCUUUUACCUCUGAAGACAUGGGCUGCCUUAACCAGGGACUGAUCUCACUGAGGACAUCUCAGUGAAGCUAGUGGACAUUUGUAACCCAGGGCUGGCCCUGUCAUCUGCUGCACUGCCCAUCAGUCCUGCUGGGCAGCACCUGCAAAAUUCCCUGUAGUUUGCAGAUCAGGUCUCUCCUGUGAGAUGGACCAGUACAGAAGUGUUGGAGCAUUUUCUAGUGUCACCUUCACCCCAUCAUGAUGGCUGUCUCAGCCACGUGGCUCACUGCCUCCCACGAGCAGCACUGGUUUUAAAUAAAAAGAGGGGAGAUUCAGGCUAGACAGGAGGAAGAAAUUUUUUACAAUGAGGGUGGUGAAACACUGGCACAUGUUGCCCAGAGAGGUGGUAGAUGCCCCAUCCCUGGAGACAUUCAAGGCCAGGCUGGAUGGGGCUCUGAGCAACCUGAUCUAGUUGCAGAUGUCUUUGUUCAUUGCAGGGACUAGAUGACUUUUGAAGGUCCCUUCCAACUCAAACUGUUCUAUGAUUCUAUGAUUCUAUCUGACCUUGUCAGCCUGCUCAUACCCUACAUCGCAGUCACACUAGUGCUUGCAGGGAAGAUUUUGUAAUACAUGUCCUAAAUGAGCUAGAUCUGGUACCUGAAUGAGCUGUGUGCAAUACUGCAAGUGCUUAACUAUGGUUAUAUCGAGGCUAUCGUUCCCUGUGGUCAGAGGCAGAGGGCUGCCAGCCACGCUGGUGCCCACACCCGUGUCCUCGGUGAGAGCUUCACUCAGGUGGCCUCUGGCUUCUGGGUGCUCCGUCCUGUAACUGGGGAGGGACAAGGGAGGAAGGUCAGUGCAGGGCCCACUGCCACGGCCAGCACACAGACACACACACGCUCACUCAAGACAAUGACCAAUGAGAGCAGCAAAAGAGCUGAAAGCAGCCAGAAACCUCGCGAUGAACACAUCAUAUCACAAAGGAGCAGAGCUGCCCUGGCCAGGCAUGGAAGGGCUGUCCCUGCCAUGGGGACAGCUCUCUGUCUCCUGACCAGUUUGCAUCCAGCCAUGCAAUGCCCUCACCAGCAGGCCUUGUUACCCCCUGGUUACUGUCAUUUGGUGGUGACAGUGUUUUCUCCCACCUGUUGGUAAAUUAUCUCCCCAGUGCUCUGGAUUAAGCACCACUAGAAUUUGUGCCAUUCCAAGCACCCAGCUGCUAAGAACAGCUCUGUGCUUUCAGUGUCCUCCUGGUGCCAAAUUUAAUGCUCAUUGCAGAAGAAAAGGAAAACCACUGCUGGAGUAAGAGACAUGAUGUUUUCAUAUGCUGUUUUAGGCACAACGCGUACAGUUUACUUCACCAGUCAUUUCUGUAAGAGCGUAAAGCUAGUUUCACUGUGUUUUGAAUCAUUAUUUCCAGCAUUGCCUUCUUGCCCAAAUGGUCCUCCCUAUGUUUAAAUGUAAAGGCCGAGGUCAGUGUACUUGGCUGCAAGUUCAGAAGUUUCAACACUUGCAGUCUUUACACCGAGUCACACACUUACACAUCUAAAAAUGGAAGUGUGAAUCUACACUGUCCAGAGAUGAGCCAAAAGGGAAGAAAGGAAAUUUUAACUUCUACUUUAACUUAAAAGAUUUCAUUUUUCUAAGUUAGCUUAUAACUAACUUAAAUUUUUGCUGCUUAAGUUAAUUUUAUGCUAAAGCGCCUAGUUAAAGCCAAAUCCUUAAAUCAACGCAGACUGAACUGAGCUCAGAGUGCCAGUUUAGCAAGCAAUGCAAUUUUCCAAGUUUUUCUUUCCACUAAGUCUUAUUCUGGAAAGAGGAUAUGCAUUGAGAUGAUGGGACUUGCACGAUGGUUGCUUAUUUGCACCCAGAAUUGUUUUAAACAAGCCACAAUAAACUGUAAGAAGUACAGCUUCCUAGCUGGAAAGUGUGGGGUGUGAGGGAAUGUUCUUUUUUCUCCCAGCUCUUAGUGCCACUUCUGUGGCUGUUGGAUGCAAACACGCUUUUAGGAUGUAAUGAUUGAAACACAGCAUCUUAAGGUCACACGACAAUGGCAGACCACGGCACAAACACCACAGCAUUUUUGUUUGUUUUUUUUUUUUCUCUCUCAGAAAGACCAGAAGUGAUGAAAGAAGGGCAGGUAACACGCAGGGCCAUGAACAGAGUACCAGUCAUCACUCUUACAUUCCAAAGGAAACCUACACCAUGCUGCUUAAAUCUGGCCCUGUGUUAUUGUUACUGACAAGCUUAAUCCACUGCAAAGACUCAUUCGGCUAGAGAGAAAAGACAAAGGGAGGGGGGAAAAACCACAGUGGAAUUAGUAAUUACAUCCAGAGAAAUCCAGGUCCAAACCUAUGUCAAGGAAGAGGCUCUGCCAGUAUUGAUGUCAGCUUAAUUUAAGUUACGCUUUUCCUUUGGAGGACAGAUUGCAAAUAUUUGAAAAUGAAAAAAAAAUUAUCCUGGAAGCUAAAGAUUUUUUAUGCAGCAGCACAGGGAACCCUCUGACCCUAUAACUCAUCAAGCGUUAGUCAGUCUUCCUUGAGUAAUGUGUGCACCAGGAACUGCUGUUAGCGACAAAGAGCUUGGGUAUCAGUUUGGCAUAAGCACAGCUGGCAGUUACUACAAACUUACCUAUUCUUCUCAAUCUCAGUAUCUGAAAACACUGAGUCUGCACCUCCUCCACCAUUACAAACCUCCACACCACCACCAUCCUCAUCAUCAAAGUCAGAGGUGUUCAGGAAAUCAAAGCUUUCUAAAGCACUUUCAACUGUUAGACUUAAACUGGAGGACCUGCUUCGGCUUACUGCUGGCUUGCACUGCAAAGGCAGAAUGAACCAAUGAAAACCCCAGAUAUUAGCUACUACUCAAAGAAAAGGAAAAAAAUAAAAAAAGGAUAAAGCUUAAAACUUUCAAAUUCUUCAUUUUUAUUUUUAAAACUUCAUUUUAUUGGAUGUUUCAUUUCAAACCUUCAUAUUCAUAGCAUAUACAAUCAAAACCUGAGAAGUGGAAAACCCUUCCCUUCCUCCUCCCAUCCCCAUCCUACCCGCUUUGUUCCCCAAAAGAAAACCCUCAAAGGCAAAAUUUCAUGUGUUUUGUAGAAAUGAGGAGUACCUCUUGAAUCCAAGUGACACAGCUUUUGGCAUCCUCCAAAAGGAGAGAUGGCAAUUAACACACUGGAAGUUGGAAGCAGAAGGCACAUUCCAUAAUUACUUUUCUAGUUAUAUGUAUCCAAUGGCACUAUCGGAUUUAUUCCAGAUGUAAUUCCAACUUAGCUUAACCAGGGAUAAAUUUGGUGCCAUAUCUGCAGAUCUAAACAUGGAAUGAGAGGACUUUUGUGGCCUUUGAAGCCACAUGGCUUAUCAAGGAAAAGGCAAUCACGUGUUGGAUUCCUAGGUGGCAGAGAAAGUCAGUACAAUAACUCAGGAAUUAACAGUGCUGGAGAGGGAGAAGCCAUGGCAUCUCUCUGCUGGGAAGAAGUGCAAUGGAAUCCUUGCUGCUGCUGUAGAAAGUAUCAAAGGCCUUGGUCCCAUGUGGCGAUUCAUCCAGACUUGCCCACAGCGCUGCUUCCAGGGUCACCUUGCAGGGUUGAAUGUAACUUGAGGGAUCACCUCCAUCAGUUUGUGCAACGACUUCACUAUGUGACCAGAAACCACCAGGAGCCACCACUGCCAUUCCAUAAACUUCAUCUUCCAGGCCCAGGCAAACGUCAGGACUUUGUCUUGGCUUGUAGAAAGAAAUGCACUGGCCUCCGAGUUCAGACUUGGCACCUUACCCUCUAGAACUGAGGAGGCGUAGAGUUUUGUGUGCAAUUCAUUAAUGCUAUAAUGGUGAUACAUUAGCACUUAGGAUGCUUGACACCUUAAGCUGUUUGUGUAGUCAGCAGCUGAUCAAACAUCACGUCUGUGACACAGAUGGGUGCUGUAUCCCACUUUCUCAGCACCACUGAUGAUUUUAGCUACCAUUUCUUUCAGGGCUGCUAGUGCAGCUUCUUCAGGCAAAAGCAAACAGCAAGAUGUGGGCUUCUCCUUUUGUCUGCCCAUCUGAUACAGCCAAGAGAGAUUUCUUCAGCCAUAGCUGGAUUCCAACUCAACCUUUGUGCAUGGGUAGCCCAGCAGGGCUGCUGGUGAUGCCGAGCGUUGGUCUGCAAGCUGAUCAAUAGGCAGCACACGGACAUAAAGCAUAUCUGGAAAAGGCAUCCUUCUCCAGUGUGCAGGAGUCCCACAUGCACACAUCCAUUCUCUCUCUUCCCCUGCAUCCCAUGUCUGUGCCUUUUAAUUUCUGAUAAAAGGAGUGUAAAUAAACAGUCUCCAUUGUCCCUCUGCUUUUUGGAUAGUUGACCUCUUUGUACAAGCUGCAGAGCAGCCAAGAAGUUAAAAAAUGAUAGCAAUGGUAGCUUUGCCUGCUCAAACACCCUUGGGAAAUAAUGCGAGAAACAGGGGCUGCAGGCUGUCGAAAAAGCAUUUAAUUUGGGAAAGUACCAUGCAGCUGCAAACACCAAUGGAAACGAAGAUGUUAAUAAUGUUUCUUUGUAAAAAGAUAAUGCUGAAGGAAAAAUGCUUCCCUCCUUCCUCGUCAGCUAUGUUUUUAAAUGAGGAGGCUUAAAUGAUUAGCAGACCAACUUGCAUAUGAAUAUGAAGCAUUUGAAAUGAUUAUUGCCCAUAUAAUACUCUUUGCACAGUAAUGCGUCAUGAGUUAUUAUUCAUGAAGGAGAUAUGAGUCACAGUGAUCGGCAGUAAACUUAUUAAAAACACACAUGCAAAACUCUUUUCUUCUUUCUGUAAUACUUUUCAACAUGUUACGUCCAUCCUGGUUUAAUGACAGGAUGUUUCUCAUUUUAAAAAUGGAUGGGGGAAAAGAAAAAGUCUUGGGAAAAGCCUAAGUAAUGUGAGGAUGGCAACCUUCAGUGAGACUUGUGCUUCCAAAUCUCUGGCAAUUUAGAAAAUUCAGCUUCUGUGGCUACAAGGCCUGAUCCUCAGCUGGUGUUAAUUUUGCAUAGCUCCAUGGAGUUCAGGGAUAGUAUGCUAAAGUACACCCACUGAGGAUUUGACUCAUAGAUUUUAAAAACAGAAGGCUGGGUAUGAUCUGGUCUCCACUAUGGCACAAGCAAGGGGUUCACAAGUGGUUUCUUCACAGAAGGUUAUAAUGUAAUUACCCCUCUGCUACUGCACCUUUUUCUCUUUCCCCCAGGUUUCCAGUAAAUGAAAAGAUCCAUUGCUUGAGGAUACAAGGCUAUAGAAAGCCCGUUGCAGACAAGUUUAAAAAUGCAACACUGUGACAGGAUGCUCCAAGCAGGAGCAAAUCUACUGCAACUAAGGAAUUUUACUGAUCUCCAAAAAGCCUACUUCGAUGUUUGUGAGGCAGGGGAGGAGAUUCUAUCUGCUCAGAUUUUCUUUACAGCAGUAUUUUCCAAAAAUGUACUCACUUUUAGGAUGUCAUCCAGAUGCAUCACUUCUUGGUCCAGGUCCUGAAACUCUUUAUACUGCUCUUUAUGUGGCUCAAGAGCUAAGAGAAGCCCUUGCAAGGCUUCUUCAAUGCUUCCAUCGAGAUAAGACUUAUAUCCUUCUGACUCCCCACUAAUGGAUCCCUCACACGGCAGCUUCUCUGGGGUCACGGGUGCCUCUGCCGACGUCAGCCUUUUCACCAGCUGCUUCGUGAUAUUGCCCUCGUAGGUAUCCAGCUCCACAGGCUUAAGCUCCGAACCUUCAUCCGUGUCCUGCAGCAGAGACACCGGGACGCUUGUCUCUAUAAAGACGCCAUCGCUCCCAGCAUCAGAGUUGUUUUGGCAAACAUCAGGAGCUGCCCUUGGGGUGACCUUGUUCUCAACCACUGCUCCCUCUCCCUGGGACAGCAGGUCCUUGGGCUCAGCAACAGAGUCUCUGCGGGAGUCGCUGCUGCUGCAGUUCAGGCUUGAGCUCCUGGAGGACGUGAGGGCUCGGUGCUGGGUGGGGGUGGCAGUGAUGUCAGGGCUGGAGCUGACGUGAGCAGAAGAGGACUCUGCUGCGUUGGCGGGGGGCAUGUGGUCUUUGUAAGGCAGGUCGCCAAAAGUGAAAGAGAGAGGCCUCUUCUCAGUGGUGGCAGUCCCGUUCUCAAAGACGUCAUCUGGCAAAUUCGC